This 492-nucleotide ribosomal RNA is filed under the name uncultured bacterium. RNAcentral's name for it is "bacterial SSU rRNA". It matches the Rfam family "Bacterial small subunit ribosomal RNA", at positions 28 to 531 of the family's 1533-position model. The record is from RNAcentral.
GAUGAACGCUAGCGGCAGGCUUAAUACAUGCAAGUCAAGGGGGUAGCAAUACAACCGGCGCACGGGUGAGUAACACGUACACAACAUACCAUAUACUGAGGUAUAGCUUCGGGAAACUGAAGGUAAUCCCUCAUAGUAUUGUGAAAGGGCAUCUUUUUACAAUUAAAGUUUCGACGGUAUAUGAUUGGUGUGCGUUUGAUUAGCUAGUUGGUAGGGUAACGGCCUACCAAGGCAACGAUCAAUAGCUGGCGUGAGAGCGCGACCAGCCACACUGGAACUGAGACACGGUCCAGACUCCUACGGGAGGCAGCAGUAGGGAAUAUUGGACAAUGGGCGAAAGCCUGAUCCAGCCAUGCCGCGUGAUAGAUGAAGGCCCUCUGGGUUGUAAAUAUCUUUUAUCUGGGAAGAAACACUUCUAUUCUUAGAAGCUUGACGGUACCAGAGGAAUAAGCACCGGCUAACUCCGUGCCAGCAGCCGCGGUAAUGUCGAUA